Molecule: ribosomal RNA, 446 nt
Filed under: uncultured bacterium
Lineage: Bacteria
Description: SSU rRNA
Rfam family: Bacterial small subunit ribosomal RNA
Source: RNAcentral
AGAACGAACGCUGGCGGCAUGCCUAACACAUGCAAGUCGAACGAGACCUUCGGGUCUAGUGGCGCACGGGUGCGUAACGCGUGGGAACCUGCCUUUAGGUUCGGAAUAACUCAGAGAAAUUUGAGCUAAUACCGGAUAAUGUCUUCGGACCAAAGAUUUAUCGCCUUUAGAUGGGCCCGCGUAAGAUUAGCUAGUUGGUGGGGUAAAGGCCUACCAAGGCGACGAUCUUUAGCUGGUCUGAGAGGAUGAUCAGCCACACUGGGACUGAGACACGGCCCAGACUCCUACGGGAGGCAGCAGUGGGGAAUAUUGGACAAUGGGCGAAAGCCUGAUCCAGCAAUGCCGCGUGAGUGAUGAAGGCCUUAGGGUUGUAAAGCUCUUUUACCAGGGAUGAUAAUGACAGUACCUGGAGAAUAAGCUCCGGCUAACUCCGUGCCAGCAGCCGC